RNAcentral lists this ribosomal RNA (254 nucleotides) under uncultured bacterium. Its description in RNAcentral is "partial 16S ribosomal RNA". It matches the Rfam family "Bacterial small subunit ribosomal RNA", at positions 524 to 776 of the family's 1533-position model. The record is from RNAcentral.
UACGGGGGGAGCAAGCGUUGUUCGGAUUUACUGGGCGUAAAGGGCGCGUAGGCGGCCACCGCAAGUCGGUUGUGAAAUCUCUGGGCUUAACCCAGAAAGGUCAACCGAUACUGCGGGGCUAGAGUGCAGAAGGGGCAACUGGAAUUCUCGGUGUAGCGGUGAAAUGCGUAGAUAUCGAGAGGAACACCUGCGGCGAAGGCGGGUUGCUGGGCUGACUCUGACGCUGAAGCGCGAAAGCUAGGGGAGCGAACGGG